Molecule: ribosomal RNA, 119 nt
Organism: Synchiropus splendidus (mandarinfish)
Lineage: Eukaryota; Metazoa; Chordata; Actinopteri; Syngnathiformes; Callionymidae
Source: RefSeq, a predicted model, not a curated record
GCUUACGGCCAUACCACUCUGAGGGUGCCCGAUCUCGUCGGAUCUCGGAAGCCAAGCAGAGUCGGGCCCGGUGAGUACUUGGAUGGGAGACCGCCUGGGAACACCGGGUGCUGUAAGCU